CCCGCCCCGUCCGGCAGCGGCUUCGCUCCCUCCGAUCCCCCCCGCGCCCAGGACCCCCGGCCCCACUGUUGCGCCAGCUCGCCGGGUCUGGCCAUGGGCCCCGCCGCUCGCCCCGCGCUGAGAUCGCCGCCGCCGCCUCCGCCGCCGCCCCCGUCGCCGCUACUGCUGCUGCUGCCCCUGCUGCCGCUGUGGCUGGGCCUGGCGGGGCCCGGGGCCGCGGCGGACGGCAGCGAGCCGGCAGCCGGGGCGGGGCGGGGCGGAGCCCGCGCCGUGCGGGUGGACGUGAGACUGCCGCGCCAGGACGCUCUGGUCCUGGAGGGCGUCAGGAUCGGCUCCGAAGCCGACCCGGCGCCCCUGCUGGGCGGUCGUCUGCUGCUGAUGGACAUCGUGGAUGCCGAACAGGAGGCGCCGGUGGAAGGCUGGAUUGCAGUGGCAUACGUGGGCAAGGAGCAGGCGGCCCAGUUCCACCAGGAGAAUAAGGGCAGUGGCCCGCAGGCCUAUCCCAAGGCCCUGGUCCAGCAGAUGCGGCGGGCCCUCUUCCUGGGAGCCUCUGCCCUGCUUCUCCUCAUCCUGAACCACAACGUGGUCCGAGAGCUGGACAUAUCCCAGCUUCUGCUCAGGCCAGUGAUCGUCCUCCAUUAUUCCUCCAAUGUCACCAAGCUGUUGGAUGCACUGCUGCAGAGGACCCAGGCCACGGCUGAGAUCACCAACGGAGAGUCCCUGUCUGCCAAUAUCGAGUGGAAGCUGACCUUGUGGACCACCUGUGGCCUCUCCAAGGAUGGCUAUGGAGGAUGGCAGGACUUGGUCUGCCUGGGAGGCAGUCGUGCCCAGGAGCAGAAACCCCUGCAGCAGCUGUGGAACGCCAUCCUGCUGGUGGCCAUGCUCCUGUGCACAGGCCUCGUGGUCCAGGCCCAGCGGCAGGCGUCACGGCAGAGCCAGCGGGAGCUCGGAGGCCAGGUGGACCUGUUUAAGCGCCGCGUGCUGCGGAGACUGGCAUCCCUCAAGACACGGCGCUGCCGGCUGAGCAGGGCAGCGCAGGGCCUCCCAGAUCCGGGUGCUGAGACCUGUGCCGUGUGCCUGGACUACUUCUGCAACAAGCAGGCUAGUGCCCCGGUGGCUCCGGGUGCUGCCCUGUAAGCACGAGUUUCACCGAGACUGUGUGGACCCCUGGCUGAUGCUCCAGCAGACCUGCCCACUGUGCAAAUUCAACGUCCUGGGGAACCGCUACUCCGAUGAUUAGCUGCCCAGCUGGACUCUGCACAUGGGGAUGGACCCUUCCUGCCUGCACCCCUGUCCUCAGCCUGGGCUCCCAGGACAGGACAGGAUGGGACAGCAGGAUAGGCAGGACAGCAAGCCCAGUGGGUGGGAGGAAGGAUGAGGGCCCCACCAUGUCCACACUGGGAAGGAGGGCCCCACAGCUGCAGGCUGCGGAUCUAGGGCUGGGACCUGUCAGUCAAGGAAGAGAGGUCACUUUGGGACCUCUGCAAUCCCGUGAUGUGAGUCUGCCCUCCUCACAGGCAGUUCCCAGGUCAAUAGGGAAAGAGAAUAUGGGGCCAGUGUAGCUGUCGCCAGGGUUCUGGGAGUUCCCUGUGGCCUGUCUGGGAAUCCCUGGGGGCUGGGACUACAGUGGCCAGGUUUUGUGCUUAUUUAUUGGGGGGUGGGUUGAGGGAAGAGCUAUCUGGCCUUGGGGUACCCUGGCCUGACCGUCUUUCAGGAUACCUCUUGUCAAGGCUGUCUGCCUGUUGCCUUUGGUCCUCGAGCACUGGGAGCCAUGGGUCCCACUGCCUGUCCAGCCUUCCUGGGCCUGGCUAGGACCAGAGGCCUUAGAAACCAUCCUGUUCUGGACUCCUUGGCUGCGGCUUUGUGUUGCCGACCGGGAUACUCGAAGCCACAGGAUCAAUGUGGUGCCUCAUCCAGGGGCAUCCAUUUUUUUUUUUUUUUUUAAAGAGUUGGAGUAGGGAAGGUUUAAUAGUAAAAUAAACGUGGCUAUAUUUUAACAUAAGAUGUAAAA
Nomascus leucogenys (northern white-cheeked gibbon) is the source of this 2011-nucleotide RNA transcript. It is a transcript of the gene named ring finger protein 215, with no coding region annotated. The record is from RefSeq and is a predicted model, not a curated record. Lineage: Eukaryota; Metazoa; Chordata; Mammalia; Primates; Hylobatidae.